GGAUAACACUUGGAAACAGGUGCUAAUACCGUAUAACACUAUUUUCCGCAUGGAAGAAAGUUGAAAGGCGCUUUUGCGUCACUGAUGGAUGGACCCGCGGUGCAUUAGCUAGUUGGUGAGGUAACGGCUCACCAAGGCCACGAUGCAUAGCCGACCUGAGAGGGUGAUCGGCCACACUGGGACUGAGACACGGCCCAGACUCCUACGGGAGGCAGCAGUAGGGAAUCUUCGGCAAUGGACGAAAGUCUGACCGAGCAACGCCGCGUGAGUGAAGAAGGUUUUCGGAUCGUAAAACUCUGUUGUUAGAGAAGAACAAGGAUGAGAGUAAAAUGUUCAUCCCUUGACGGUAUCUAACCAGAAAGCUACGGCUAACUACGUGCCAGCAGCCGCGGUAAUACGUAGGUGGCAAGCGUUGUCCGGAUUUAUUGGGCGUAAAGCGAGCGCAGGCGGUUUCUUAAGUCUGAUGUGAAAGCCCCCGGCUCAACCGGGGAGGGUCAUUGGAAACUGGGAGACUUGAGUGCAGAAGAGGAGAGUGGAAUUCCAUGUGUAGCGGUGAAAUGCGUAGAUAUAUGGAGGAACACCAGUGGCGAAGGCGGCUCUCUGGUCUGUAACUGACGCUGAGGCUCGAAAGCGUGGGGAGCGAACAGGAUUAGAUACCCUGGUAGUCCACGCCGUAAACGAUGAGUGCUAAGUGUUGGAGGGUUUCCGCCCUUCAGUGCUGCA
This 723-nucleotide ribosomal RNA is filed under the name uncultured bacterium. Its description in RNAcentral is "bacterial SSU rRNA". It matches the Rfam family "Bacterial small subunit ribosomal RNA", at positions 141 to 850 of the family's 1533-position model. The record is from RNAcentral.